GGCGUCUCUCUCUUUCUUGGCAUCCUCCCACCCUUUGUGGUGGCGUGUGGGCUGUUCCAAGAGCUUGAGAUCAGAUCUUUAAUAUUCUUCUCCCUCCUCUCCGAAGAAAAUGUUCAUCCCUCUCUUCUAUAGAGUUUGGUGUGCACGCAAAGUAGAGGAUCCGCACAUCCAGAUCUCACGAAGCAUAUUGAUUUAGGAGCUUUUUCGAUCUUAAUCCUUUUCCGCUGCAAAUCAAGGUGAGAAUUCAUAAAUAUUAUAAAAAUUUUAAUUGCUAAUCUAUUCUACCUUCCUGGCAUCCGAUGCGAUCGGACGAAUUUUUUCUUCACUACUAUCUGUUCAAUUUUUUAAAAUACUAGUAGAUUUUAAUAUGUGAAUAUUAUAUCAAAAAAAAGAUAAUUAACC
RNAcentral lists this long non-coding RNA (402 nucleotides) under Elaeis guineensis (African oil palm). Its description in RNAcentral is "long non-coding RNA (EGUI_LNC063745)". Lineage: Eukaryota; Viridiplantae; Streptophyta; Magnoliopsida; Arecales; Arecaceae. The record is from RNAcentral.